CAUACAAACAGUAGGAGCCUCGUCAGAGGUGACUGCGUACCUUUUGCAUAAUGGGUCAGCGACUUACAUUCUGUGGCGAGCUUAACCGAAUAGGGGAGGCGCAGCGAAAGCGAGUUCGAAAUGAGCGUUCAGUCGCAGGGUGUAGACCCGAAACCAGAUGAGCUAUCCAUGGCCAGGUUGAAGGUGUGGUAACACACACUGGAGGACCGAACCGACUAGUGUUGCAAAAUUAGCGGAUGAGCUGUGGAUAGGGGUGAAAGGCCAAACAAAUCUGGAGAUAGCUGGUUCUCCCCGAAAACUAUUGAGGUAGUGCCUCGUGUGUCGCUCCAGGGGGUAGAGCACUGUUUUGGCUAGGGGGACAUGGAGUCUUACCAAACCAAGGCAAACUCCGAAUACCUGGAAGCGUAAGCACGGGAGACAGAGCACCGGGUGCUAACGUCCGGACUCAAAAGGGAAACAACCCAGACCGCCGGCUAAGGUCCCAAAUAACAGCUAAGUGGAAAACGAAGUGGAAAGGCCGUGACAACCAGGAAGUUGGCUUAGAAGCAGCCAUCCUUCAAAGAAAGCGUAAUAGCUCACUGGUCGAGUCCUUCUGCGCGGAAGAUGUAACGGGGCUAAGCUGUUAACCGAAGCCGCGGAUGCGCUGGUUAUCCAGUGCGUGGUAGGGGAGCGUUCUGUAAGUCUGCGAAGGCGGUUCGAGAGGACUGCUGGAGAUAUCAGAAGUGCGAAUGCUGACAUGAGUAACGUUAAAGCAGGUGAAAAGCCUGCUCGCCGUAAGCCCAAGGAUUCCUGCUCUACGUUCAUCGGAGCAGGGUGAGUCGGCUCCUAAGGUCAGGCCGAAAGGCGUAGCCGAUGGGAAUCAGGUUAAUAUUCCUGAACCUGCGUCAGAUGCGAUGGGGGGACGGAGCAUGGAAGAUCAUCCGGGUGUUGGAAGUCCCGGUUGUUUAGCGUAGGAGGUCUGCAGGCAAAUCCGCAGACGCAUCUCCAAGGCAAAGACACGUGCCGCUACGGCGGCGAAGUGAUCGGAAGUGCUUCCAAGAAAAGCCUCUAAGCCCCAGUCUGACGCGGACCGUACCGCAAACCGACACUGGUGGGCGAGCUGAAUAUGCUCAGGCGCUUGAGAGAACUCGGGAGAAGGAACUCGGCAAAUUGACACCGUAACUUCGGAAGAAGGUGUGCCGUAGUACCGUGAGAGGAGAGACACCUUGAGCGGGAAACGGUCUCAGAGAAUAGGUGGCUGCGACUGUUUAUUAAAAACACAGCACUCUGCAAAGUCGAAAGACGACGUAUAGGGUGUGAUGCCUGCCCGGUGCUGGAAGAUUAAUUGAUGGGGUGAGAGCCCUUGAUCGAAGUCCCAGUAAACGGCGGCCGUAACUAUAACGGUCCUAAGGUAGCGAAAUUCCUUGUCGGGUAAGUUCCGACCUGCACGAAUGGCAUAACGAUGGCCACACUGUCUCCUCCCGAGACUCAGUGAAGUUGAAAUGUUUGUGAUGAUGCAAUCUACCCGCGGCUAGACGGAAAGACCCCAUGAACCUUUACUGCAGCUUUGCAUUGAACUGUGAACCGAUUUGUGUAGGAUAGGUGGGAGGCAGAGAAGAGGCCACGCCAGUGGCCUUGGAGCCGACCUUGAAAUACCACCCUGAUUUGUUUGCGGUUCUAACCACGGACAGUGAUCCUGUCUUGGGACCGUGCAUGGUAGGCAGUUUGACUGGGACGGUCUCCUCCUAAAGGGUAACGGAGGAGUACGAAGGUACGCUAGGUACGGUCGGAAAUCGUGCUGAUAGUGCAAUGGCAAAAGCGUGCUUGACUGCGAGAGCAACAACUCGAGCAGGUGCGAAAGCAGGUCAUAGUGAUCCGGUGGUUCUGAAUGGAAGGGCCAUCGCUCAACGGAUAAAAGGUA
Molecule: ribosomal RNA, 1900 nt
Filed under: human gut metagenome
Description: bacterial LSU rRNA
Rfam family: Bacterial large subunit ribosomal RNA
Source: RNAcentral